Molecule: ribosomal RNA, 207 nt
Filed under: uncultured bacterium
Lineage: Bacteria
Description: partial 16S ribosomal RNA
Rfam family: Bacterial small subunit ribosomal RNA
Source: RNAcentral
UGCGUAGGCGGGUUUCUAAGUCAGUGGUGAAAUCUGGUCGCUUAACGAUCAAACGGCCAUUGAUACUGCAGGACUUGAAUUACCAGGAAGUAACUAGAAUAUGUAGUGUAGCGGUGAAAUGCUUAGAUAUUACAUGGAAUACCAAUUGCGAAGGCAGGUUACUACUGGUUUAUUGACGCUGAUGGACGAAAGCGUGGGGAGCGAACA